This is a long non-coding RNA of Struthio camelus australis, 1620 nucleotides long. The record is from Ensembl. Lineage: Eukaryota; Metazoa; Chordata; Aves; Struthioniformes; Struthionidae.
UGUGCAGAGAUCUAACUGUGUGCACCUGUUUGUCGGGUUCCUUUCACUAGAAGUACUUGCAUUCAGAUUCAAACUAUUCUAUAUUCAUUUAGCUGGAUCUUCUGUUUAUACAAAGUGUAUCCUGUAACCACACCGAUAAAUGUUAAAUUCAAUUCGCAUAUUUUAUAACCAGCUUUGCGUAGCACACAGACUUAUAAGAACCGGAUAGAUCAGGGUUCGGCAAAAACUUCCCUGGGACGUAACUGGCUUGUGGGCUUAGGGCUGCUCACUGUAACCCACAGAAGGAGUUAAAGAACUGUUUAGAUGAAAUUAGCAUUAUACAGAGCACAAAAGGUGGCAUUGCACAAUAUCCUCAGCUAAUAUUUGUUGUUCUGUUUUAUAUCAGCUGCAACAAAUAGUGAUGAUCAUACUGCAUCUUAAUUUUACUUUAACCUUCUCAAAUACAGCUGUGGUCAAGCUUAACGGAAGUCCUUUGCAGCAGGUUUCUUAUAUAUUUCAGCAGUAGUAGCAACAAUAUAGCUGCUGCAUGCGUGCCUGUAUGCUGUUUUAUGCAUAUGGGUUUGAUUUAAUAUUUGUUACAGUAGUUAGCCUGCAGCACCUAGAUUUUUGUGGAAAGAAGGUUAUCAUCACCCCCAGAUGCUGAACGCCUUCAUAACUGGAUUUGUCAGAGAGCACCAGGCAGAAUAAAACCUCCCAGAAACAUGCCAUCACCUGUCCCAGCAGCUUCGGGAACACUGCGAUCGCCAGCUGCAUCCAUCUGCCCUGACAAGGGAGGAAUCCAGCUCGGUGCACUGAGUGUACUUGCUUCUUGGCAAAAUGUGUAGUGAUUAAGCUGAUAAAGGGUCUGGCCGGGGGGUCCUGGGCUGCCUGUGAGCCUUUGGAGACUCUGCUCUUUCCUGGACUGGUGUCCUCUGCACCGUUCUUCAGUAGCCUCCGUGUUGGGGAAAGACAAAAAAUAACCCUGCGGGAUAGAUGGCUGGAGCCCUUAAGAAGGGGAUACGUGCAGGUGAACAGUGCAAGAAACAGGUAUGGUAUGAAACCAUCCUCUGGAGAAGUAAGUCAGACCUUGCUUUUCCUUCAUUGUCUCUGCAUGUGGCAGACUGAACGAGAACGAGUGGGCUUAAAUUGUGGGUGCAAAAAGUCACAUUAGGAAAGCUUUCAAAGGAUAAGGACGGUGAAACCUGGGAAAAGGGUGCCUGGGGAUGUCGUGGAGCCUUCCUCACUGGGAGUCUGUAAGACUGAUGUAGACUCACAUCUGUCAAGAUUGACAGUGGUAUGAUUGAUCCUGCCUUGGGGCAGGAAGAAAAACCAGAUGAUGUCUUGAGGUUCCCGAGAUUCUAUGUGUAUGUUGGUUAUUUUUAAGGACCUCAUCUUUAUUUUUAAAUCAUGGUUAACCAAGCAUGUUAUUUCCCUUUAGUGCUAAAACAUAGUUUACAAGUAAAAACAGCCUGACUCUAUCAGAAUCAGAACAAAGAUCUGCCGAAACGGUUAUUACAUUGAAAUCAGGUUAAAAUCUAGCUCUACAGUCUGAACAUAUUCUAAAUGUUAGCUGCAGUCAGUAGGAUUUGGGAUCUUAGAGGGCUGAAUAAAUUGCACACCUCAGACUUUGCGAUUCGAGAC